Molecule: long non-coding RNA, 1265 nt
Organism: Melanotaenia boesemani (Boeseman's rainbowfish)
Lineage: Eukaryota; Metazoa; Chordata; Actinopteri; Atheriniformes; Melanotaeniidae
Exons: 2
Source: RefSeq, a predicted model, not a curated record
UGAUGAGCUCUGCCCAGGUCCUGAGCUGACUGAAGGACGUAAUCCCCAAAGACGUCAGGAAGGAGCUGGGAGAAAAAGGCAGAGGGGCGACCGCUUUCGACAGACUCAGGGAAGAAAAAACCUCCCUAAAAGAUUUGAUCCAGAUCUGAAGUUGAUGAACAGCAACCAGUGAGAUGGUCCACCUGAGUCGCUUUCCUCAGAGGCAGGUCACCUGAAGUACAACUGAUUCAUUUCCAUAGAAGGACACAAAUGAUUUGAAUGGGUGUCUAUUUUCCUGCAUUCUUGCACCAAGUUGGAUUGGAAACGGUUUGGAAAGUGUCCCCCUGGCAAAGUUUUACAGUUUCUGUGUUCAUGCAACACGAAUCUUCCCUAAAAGAUCCAUAAAAUGAAAGCAAAACGCAGAUGAAACUAAGUUAAACAUAGCUGGAUGGCAGUCCUAUCAACGUCAGCUAAAGACAUUUACAGCUGAAAUAGGCGAGCUAUUAAAUAACAGACAAGGGAAUAAAAGGUUGAAUGUUUGGUUAAUCCUCCGCAAGAGUCCACAUGAACAAGUCUGUCCGAACAUUCUAAGUUUUGUUCAAGAAAUAUCAUUUUAAAAUUACAUCUGCACUAAUAAGAAUGAUGAGCAAAGUAUACUCCAGGUGGGGUGGCCUCAUGUCCGUUAAUGUGUUAGAUAACAGCCGAAGACCCUGUUCGAUGACAUCAGGAAAUUUUACCUCUUAGUAUGAAAACCAAGGCCGGGCUUGAAGGCACCUUUGAGAUAAACCCAGAAAAGUUACAGAAACCAAAAACAUAUCAUUUGAAUAGUUUUAUUAACCUGAACAGAUUCAAAACAGCAUCAAAAAUAAAAUAGGAAACAGGAAGUUCCUCUGAAAAUUAAAACAAUAUUGACAAAAAUGCAGAUAAGAUUAGAUUGUUAUGUUUACAAUUAUCUCACACUCUUUAUUUGCUUUCAAUUUCUGAAAAACAAAAAGAAAAAUGACUCAUUGCACUUUUAUUCAUGUCUAAUGCUAAAGUGGUAAAAUGGUAAGCUUCCGGUAUGUAGAAUUAAAAUGUCUUUUAUAAGAUAAUCUGACUAAUAAAAACAAAUUUAAUGUAAUCUAUGUCUGAUGGAUACAAAGGUUUUACUGGUUUUAGUGUCCACGAUGACUUUUAACUGUCCUUAUCUCAACAUAAAUAAUGUGCCUAUAAAAGUUAAUCAUCUACAUGUUGGUAAUGAGACAAGCUCAACAGCCAUAAAAGAGAGAGACAGAGAGAGAGAGAGA